AAUGGGCGCAAGCCUGAUCCAGCCAUGCCGCGUGAGUGAUGAAGGCCCUAGGGUCGUAAAGCUCUUUCGCCUGUGAAGAUAAUGACAGUAGCAGGUAAAGAAACCCCGGCUAACUCCGUGCCAGCAGCCGCGGUAAUACGGAGGGGGUUAGCGUUGUUCGGAAUUACUGGGCGUAAAGCGCGCGUAGGCGGAUUAGUCAGUCAGAGGUGAAAUCCCAGGGCUCAACCCUGGAACUGCCUUUGAUACUGCUAGUCUUGAGUUCGAGAGAGGUAAGUGGAAUUCCGAGUGUAGAGGUGAAAUUCGUAGAUAUUCGGAGGAACACCAGUGGCGAAGGCGGCUUACUGGCUCGAUACUGACGCUGAGGUGCGAAAGUGUGGGGAGCAAACAGGAUU
This 392-nucleotide ribosomal RNA is filed under the name uncultured Gammaproteobacteria bacterium. RNAcentral describes it as "bacterial SSU rRNA". It matches the Rfam family "Bacterial small subunit ribosomal RNA", at positions 370 to 779 of the family's 1533-position model. Lineage: Bacteria; Pseudomonadati; Pseudomonadota; Gammaproteobacteria. The record is from RNAcentral.